GUAUAGUUUAACUAGUAAAUUAAAGUCUAGGUAAGAAUUCUUCGAUUUUCUAGGGGACGAUAAGACCCUAGAAGCUUUAAAAAAGAAAAAUUUUUAGUGGUUGUAUUGUAUUUUUACUGGGGCGGUAUUAGUGUUUUAACUAUUAGUGAUAAAGAUUGAUCCUUAAUAUAAAGAUAAUUCGGCGAAGUUACUCUAGGGAUAACAGUGCAGUAUUUUUGGAAAGGCCUUAUUAAUAAAAAUGUUCGCAACCUCGAUGUUGAAUUAAGAUGUCUACAUGGGGUAGUAAAUAUGGUAGAGGGUUUGUUCAACCUUUAUAAUCUUACAUG
Molecule: ribosomal RNA, 326 nt
Filed under: Gammarus fossarum
Lineage: Eukaryota; Metazoa; Arthropoda; Malacostraca; Amphipoda; Gammaridae
Description: partial large subunit ribosomal RNA
Rfam family: Bacterial large subunit ribosomal RNA (bases 55-326)
Source: RNAcentral